RNAcentral lists this ribosomal RNA (301 nucleotides) under uncultured bacterium. RNAcentral's name for it is "partial 16S ribosomal RNA". It matches the Rfam family "Bacterial small subunit ribosomal RNA", at positions 509 to 807 of the family's 1533-position model. The record is from RNAcentral.
CAGUCGCCGCGGGAAUACGGAGGGUGCAAGCGUUAAUCGGAAUUACUGGGCGUAAAGCGCACGCAGGCGGUUUGUUAAGUCAGAUGUGAAAUCCCCGGGCUCAACCUGGGAACUGCAUUUGAAACUGGCAAGCUAGAGUCUCGUAGAGGGGGGUAGAAUUCCAGGUGUAGCGGUGAAAUGCGUAGAGAUCUGGAGGAAUACCGGUGGCGAAGGCGGCCCCCUGGACGAAGACUGACGCUCAGGUGCGAAAGCGUGGGGAGCAAACAGGAUUAGAUACCCGCGUAGUCCCUGUCUCUUAUAC